AUGCAUCCGAAAAGGUGGCUGAUGAAGAAGAGGCGACAUAUCAGAUUCUUGAUUCUGUGGAGGACUGAGACGGUUGACGAUCCCAAACCCACAGGACCGUCAACAAACAAUGACCAGCAAACAAAGAGAAGUGCAUCUCUCGCCGGAUCACCCAAAGAUGAAGAGGAGGAGGACGAGCCUAUGUAUCAGAUCGUAGAUUCUCUGGAAGAUGAACAAGCUCAAGAGGAGCUGCGGGCCUCAGAGGCGUCCGAGAUAGGGAGGAAGGGAAAAGAGGAAACUCCUGCAAAAGAAGAGGCAUCAGCUGGAAAAGAAGACACACCAACAUGUGGAAGCACAGUUGUGGAAACAUCUGAGAAGGUGGAGGAGCCUCUGUAUCAGAUAGUUGAUGAGUCGCAUGAUGAUCCGUCUGCUGCAGAAGGAUCUGCAGCUCCACCCGAAACAGACCUCAAGAAGGAGGACAAGUCAACUAAACCCCAGAGCCAUACCGUCAUACUUAAAAAGAAGAAACAAAAAUCGUCUGAGAAAGACGAAGCAACGAGCACUCUGGUGAACCUGGACGAAGUGAGCGAGGAGGAGGAGGAUUACCCCGAUGACGCGGCCGAGGAGGAAGAACUGAGGAGGCGACAAGCUGCCGCAAAGGAGAAGCACGAAGUGAGGAGGACCAGGGAGAAGGACGAGAGGAGAACCAGGGAGAGAGACGAGAGAGAGCGAAGGAGCCGGAGCGGCAGCAGCAAAGGAGGAGAGACGAGGAGGGAGAAGGAGCGGGAGAAAGAGGAGACGCUGGAUGUGGACUCCAAGGAGCUGCUGACUCUGGAUGAAGUGGGAGCCGAUGACGCUGAAGAGGAAAGAGCGCUGGAGAGCCGAGAGCGGGCUGAAGAGAUCACGGGGGGAGAGCUGCAGGCACUCGUCACAUUGGACGAGUUCGUAGAAGAAGAGGAAGAUGAGAAGCAAAGCACGCUGAAGACCCGCCCCCCCAGCCAGGAGGACGAAUCAGUGGACUUCUUAAACUCAGAGACUUUGGUGACUUUAGAUGAAGCUGGUGAUGAUGAGGAAGCGAAGCCAGACGAAGAGGAAGCUGAGAAAACCUCAAGAUCCGCCAAACGCAAACACGGUGAUCACACAGAGGAAAUUGUGAACUUUGUGACGGUGGACGAGGUGGGAGAGGACGGAGAGGAGGCGGUGAAGACCAAGACGAAAGGACAAGCCAAGAAGAAAACCAGACUGACUCCUGUGAGAAAAUCCACCAGAGGCAAAAAGUUGACCGCAAAAGACGAGAGAGAAGAAGAAAGGGAACCAGCUGACACUGCUGUGCUGCCUCUAACUUCAGCCGACGCCUCCUCGUCACUGGACAAAGGUCCGUCUACGCUGUCAAGUGACGGCAAGCCGGAGGUCCAUAAGCCGGAGGUCCAGAAGCCGGAGGUCCAGAAGCCGGAGGUCCAGAAGCCGGAGGUCCAGAAACCGGAGGUCCAAGCCGACAGCGGUGCUGCCUCUGCUGGGCAGGAGCUGCAGCCGCUGGAGGGAUGUGUGGAGGAAGGAGAGGAGGAGAAGGAAACACGGAGCAGGGCGGACAUUAAAGUUGGGAGUAAACAGCGGAGGGAGGGUGUCGGACCGGAGGCGAAGCGAUCUCGUUCUCAGUCUCCUAGUGUCGAUGCCGACGUCAAACUGCCGCCAUUCAAACCCAACAACCCCCUGGGUCAGGAGUUCGUGGUCCCCAAGUCUGGUUAUUUCUGUAAUCUGUGCUGCGUUUUCUACGCGAGCGAGAGCAACGCCAGGGAUCUGCACUGCAGCAGCCAGAGACACUACAGCAGCCUGCAGGAACAUUACCAGAAGCUUCAACAGAAACCAAGUUCCUCACAAAGUCAAGGAUCCGUUUCUGAUUGAUCUUCAACUUCUUCGAAAAAUGUGAAACUGUGUAGCUUUACAAACCACUGCAGAGGAAUAAUAAUAUUAAGCCAUGUUGGCAAUAACUAAUUGCUGUAAAUUCUACAUCCACCAUAAUACUCGAUAAAUAUCUGAACAUCGUCCCAACGAUGCAGAACAAACACAGAGAGCAGAGCUUCAUCUUAAAGUCAGUGAACGUUACAUAUUUGGAGGUUUGGCACUUUUAAAAGGUGUUACUACUCAUCCAUAAAUAAUGAAUACAAUAUUUACAGUUUAAACAUAAUUCAUUAGCAUUUUAUUUUCUAGUUUGUGCUAAAUGUGUUGGCUGGUGAUCAUCUUCACUCUGCUCUCAUUUAUGUAAUAAAGCUAUAAUGUGCUAAUAUUUGUAAAGCAGGAGGAGCUGAUACAGUGGGAGCUUAGUCACUUGUUUUUAAAACUGUAUAAAUAAAGUUUUGAAUUGAAUCUUGCACAUGAAGUGUAAUAAGGUUAGAUAAGUGUUAACAUCCACUUUCAUUUAAUCAGCCAUGCAAGGGAACAGUCCCAACACUGUUGGAGGAUUCAGUAAAGAACUAAACUCCAGUUUUUAACUGUUAGACACACACGAGCAAUGUUUCUUAUUGUUUUCUAAUUUGAGAGGUACAUUUUCUUGUGAAUUUAAGUAACUGUCCAAGUCAAUACUAAUUAUAGAGAAUAUGUUAUGUGAUGUGUUUGUUUUCCUUUGAAGAAAUGUAUAUGAAAUGACACCAAAUCCCAGUUUCUGCACAUGUAAAAUGUCAUUUCUAUUGAAUAAUUAAAAUGUUUUCCCCUCAUGCUGCCUCGACAAUCUUUCAAGUAUUGAACACAAUGACUCCGUAGUGUCUCUGGGUGUAGAUGAGGAACUACAAGUACUGACGCACAUGUGGACUAACGAUUGCUAUUAAAACAAUAACAAGUUCAUGUACGUUUUUUUAAAUAAGUAUUUAGUCAGGAAGAAGUUUCUGGCAUUACGGUUUGUUUUCUAGUAGCUAGUGACGCUCCUGGAUGUUGUGAAGAGAACUUUACUGCACCUGAUGUCACGUCGUCAUAACGGUGCAUUGCAUUGUGGUCCACAUGUUUGGAAAAGGGUUAGCUGCAUCGCAAAGUUUCCAAUAUUAAGUAGUAAAUACGGCAAUUAAAUAAAUUAACAUGCCAAUUAAUAUACAAAGCCCGGACCAAGUUACACUCCCAACUCUCUAAUAAACUAUGUGCCCCCAAGAACAUUACGAUCAUCCACUACUGGUUUAUUAAAUGUUCCCAAAACUUCCAAAAGAAAAUCUGGGAUGCAGCCCAAUUAUGCACCAAAACUAUGGAACACUUUACCUGCAGACAUUAGGGAGGCAAGCUCGCUCAAUAUCUUCAAAAGUAAAAACAUAUCUCUUUACUUUAGCCUUUUAAUAGUGAUAUUUUAUAUCUCUUUACUUUAGCCUUUUAAUAGUGAUAUUUUAUAUCUCUUUACUUUAGCCUUUUAAUAGUGAUAUUUUAUAUCUCUUUACUUUAGCCUUUUAAUGGUGAUAUUUUAUAUCUCUUUACUUUAGCCUUUUAAUGGUGAUAUUUUAUAUUUCUUUACUUUAGCCU
Molecule: long non-coding RNA, 3474 nt
Filed under: Cottoperca gobio
Lineage: Eukaryota; Metazoa; Chordata; Actinopteri; Perciformes; Bovichtidae
Description: lncRNA (ENSCGOG00000022033.1)
Source: RNAcentral